This is a long non-coding RNA of Clupea harengus (Atlantic herring), 1715 nucleotides long. RefSeq lists it as uncharacterized. The transcript has 2 exons. NCBI's taxonomy places the organism in Eukaryota, Metazoa, Chordata, Actinopteri, Clupeiformes, Clupeidae. The record is from RefSeq and is a predicted model, not a curated record.
AUACUCAAAGCAGUUGAAAUAUGUAUUUCAAAUACAAGUAAUUGAAAUACUGCCCAUCUCUGAGUGUAAGCAGGUGGUUUGCGUGAAAGACAAUGUGGGGGCGGAGUCCAGCCCGCCCGCCGGUUUAGACAUCGUGACACACCUGUGUUGCAUUAAUCAAUUGGUAACGGGAAUAUAAUGGGUUCGCUUGUGUAGAAACGGGAGGUCAGGGACAGGGGAAGAGCUCCAUCCCCAAGAGAAAGGGCGGCAGAAGGCCGAGCGACCCAGGCCCUGCUGCGAGAAUGGAGCCGCCUUUGCCAGGAGCGAGGACUGCUAUGCCGUGAGGUAUGUGAUGGCAAGACUUUUGAAAAAGUUAAGCAAGUGGUCGUGCCUCACUGUCUGCGGAAGCAGGUCCUAGAGUGGCUGCAUGACCGGGCGGGUCACUUGGGGGCGGAGAAAGUGCUGGGUCUGGUGCGUCUGCGCUUCUUCUGGCGAGGCCUGGCCAAGGACGUGGAGGUGUACUGUGCCAAGUGCAUGAGGUGCAAUCUACGGAAGACCCCCACUACCAAAGGCCUGACGAUGGGGGACGGGCUGCCGCGGCCCCGGAUACCAACAAGGACCGUAGCCGAUGCAUGUAUCCUUGGGUGUGGGGUGCUGCCGGACCUGCAGGACAACCUAUAAGGGCCGAGAUGGAACCUUCGCAGGACUCUCAGGGAUCAACCCCCAACACAGCUCCAUCAGUUGGGGUUGGUCUGGCUUCACCGCCAGCCCUGGGCCCCUCACUUCCUGACACGGAGGGCCCACGUCGCUCUACUCGCAACACCAAGGGUCAACUACCCCAACGCUACCAAAUGGGAUCUGUGUGUUCUGGGAAUGUGAGGACACAUUUGAUGUAGGGGGGGUGGAUGUAAGCAGGUGGUUUGCGUGAAAGACAAUGUGGGGGCGGGGUCCAGCCCGCCCGCCGGUUUAGACGUAUUUAGACGAAUAUAAUGGGUUCGCUUGUGUAGAAACGGGAGGUCAGGGACAGGAGAUACUGCUGAGCUCCAAGCCGAGGGCUGCCGUGCCAGGACGUGGGUGAGUGCUGUAUACCCGUCGUAUUACUAAUUCGCUAUGAGAUUGAUACUAAGUGCGUUGGCUUAGAUAGCUGACCGUUGCGUGUUGCGAUCACUGGUCUGUGUACCUCCGAUAUACCCCACGUCCGGCGGUCGCGGCGAGGAGGCCAGCGUAUCAGGUAGUAUUCUGUUGCCAUUCAUGUCUUGUUGUUUUCCGGGGAAUUGUGUUCCCCGGCGGGUUUCUUUAUGUAUGUCAGUGCGUGUGCAUGUGUGAGCAGGAAGAAGAGCAAGCUCAUAUUCUGGGCAAAGUGCCGUGUCUGUACAGAGGAAUAGGAGGGGAUAUACUUUGCCUUGGCUUGCUGUGCUUAUGGGUUGCUGUGGAUUCCUUCUGGCUCUUGAUGUGUAUUUUAUCACUGACAUUAUGAUUGGGAUGAAUUUAACUUGUUUUAUCUGAUUGUACUUUGCCCAUCUGAAACACUGAUGAAUUUGCUGUGUAUUUAUUGCUAAUUUAUAUAUCCAUCUGUUCCUGUGUAUAGGCCUAUAUCCUUCAUGCUAUUUAUCUAUUUAUUAAUCAGCACUUUGCACUUUACAUCGAUGUGAUGCUUGUUUUGGCCACUGCUCUCACCCCAAGAUGCUUUUAGAAAGUAUAAUAUAAAGAGAAAUAAAAGUCCUUGCUUUUCCCUA